RNAcentral lists this small RNA (74 nucleotides) under Arabidopsis thaliana (thale cress). Its description in RNAcentral is "ATSL106320". Lineage: Eukaryota; Viridiplantae; Streptophyta; Magnoliopsida; Brassicales; Brassicaceae. The record is from RNAcentral.
UGAACAUUCUUGCUCUUGUUCUUGUUUUUCAAUCCGAAAGUUUUGUCUUCCACUUGUUUCUGCUUCUUCGCCAA